UUAAGCGACUAAGCGUACACGGUGGAUGCCCUGGCAGUCAGAGGCGAUGAAGGACGUGCUAAUCUGCGAAAAGCGCCGGCGAGGUGAUAUGAACCCUUGACCCGGCGAUGUCCGAAUGGGGAAACCCAGUGCAAUCCGUUGCACUAUCGUUAACUGAAUACAUAGGUUAACGAGGCGAACCGGGGGAACUGAAACAUCUAAGUACCCCGAGGAAAAGAAAUCAACCGAGAUUCCCCCAGUAGCGGCGAGCGAACGGGGAGCAGCCCGGAGUCUGAAUCAGCUUGUGUGUUAGUGGAACGGUCUGGAAAGUCCGACGGUACAGGGUGAUAGUCCCGUACACGAAAAUGCACAUGCUGUGAACUCGAAGAGUAGGGCGGGACACGUGGUAUCCUGUCUGAAUAUGGGGGGACCAUCCUCCAAGGCUAAAUACUCCUGACUGACCGAUAGUGAACCAGUACCGUGAGGGAAAGGCGAAAAGAACCCCGGCGAGGGGAGUGAAAAAGAACCUGAAACCGUGUACGUACAAGCAGUGGGAGCCUCUUUAUGGGGUGACUGCGUACCUUUUGUAUAAUGGGUCAGCGACUUAUAUUCUGUAGCAAGGUUAACCGUAUAGGGGAGCCGAAGGGAAACCGAGUCUUAACUGGGCGUUAAGUUGCAGGGUAUAGACCCGAAACCCGGUGAUCUAGCCAUGGGCAGGUUGAAGGUUGGGUAACACUAACUGGAGGACCGAACCGACUAAUGUUGAAAAAUUAGCGGAUGACCUGUGGCUGGGGGUGAAAGGCCAAUCAAACCGGGAGAUAGCUGGUUCUCCCCGAAAGCUAUUUAGGUAGCGCCUCGUGAACUCAUCUUCGGGGGUAGAGCACUGUUUCGGCUAGGGGGCCAUCCCGGCUUACCAACCCGAUGCAAACUACGAAUACCGAAGAAUGUUAUCACGGGAGACACACGGCGGGUGCUAACGUCCGUCGUGAAGAGGGAAACAACCCAGACCGCCAGCUAAGGUCCCAAAGUCAUGGUUAAGUGGGAAACGAUGUGGGAAGGCACAGACAGCCAGGAUGUUGGCUUAGAAGCAGCCAUCAUUUAAAGAAAGCGUAAUAGCUCACUGGUCGAGUCGGCCUGCGCGGAAGAUGUAACGGGGCUAAACCAUGCACCGAAGCUGCGGCAGCGACGCUUAUGUGUUGUUGGGUAGGGGAGCGUUCUGUAAGCCGUUGAAGGUGUGCUGUGAGGCAUGCUGGAGGUAUCAGAAGUGCGAAUGCUGACAUAAGUAACGAUAAAGCGGGUGAAAAGCCCGCUCGCCGGAAGACCAAGGGUUCCUGUCCAACGUUAAUCGGGGCAGGGUGAGUCGACCCCUAAGGCGAGGCCGAAAGGCGUAGUCGAUGGGAAACAGGUUAAUAUUCCUGUACUUGGUGUUACUGCGAAGGGGGGACGGAGAAGGCUAUGUCAGCCGGGCGACGGUUGUCCCGGUUUAAGCAUGUAGGCGGAGGUUCCAGGUAAAUCCGGUACCUUAUUAACGCUGAGGUGUGAUGACGAGGCACUACGGUGCUGAAGUGAUAAAUGCCCUGCUUCCAGGAAAAGCCUCUAAGCAUCAGGUAACACGAAAUCGUACCCCAAACCGACACAGGUGGUCAGGUAGAGAAUACCAAGGCGCUUGAGAGAACUCGGGUGAAGGAACUAGGCAAAAUGGUGCCGUAACUUCGGGAGAAGGCACGCUGAUGUGUAGGUGAAGCCCCUGCGGGUGGAGCUGAAAUCAGUCGAAGAUACCAGCUGGCUGCAACUGUUUAUUAAAAACACAGCACUGUGCAAACACGAAAGUGGACGUAUACGGUGUGACGCCUGCCCGGUGCCGGAAGGUUAAUUGAUGGGGUUAGCGGCAACGCGAAGCUCUUGAUCGAAGCCCCGGUAAACGGCGGCCGUAACUAUAACGGUCCUAAGGUAGCGAAAUUCCUUGUCGGGUAAGUUCCGACCUGCACGAAUGGCGUAAUGAUGGCCAGGCUGUCUCCACCCGAGACUCAGUGAAAUUGAACUCGCUGUGAAGAUGCAGUGUACCCGCGGCAAGACGGAAAGACCCCGUGAACCUUUACUAUAGCUUGACACUGAACACUGGUCCUUGAUGUGUAGGAUAGGUGGGAGGCUUUGAAGCGUGGACGCCAGUCUGCGUGGAGCCAACCUUGAAAUACCACCCUUUAAUGGCUGGUGUUCUAACGUAGACCCGUAAUCCGGGUUGCGGACAGUGUCUGGUGGGUAGUUUGACUGGGGCGGUCUCCUCCCAAAGAGUAACGGAGGAGCACGAAGGUUGGCUAAUCCUGGUCGGACAUCAGGAGGUUAGUGCAAUGGCAUAAGCCAGCUUGACUGCGAGCGUGACGGCGCGAGCAGGUGCGAAAGCAGGUCAUAGUGAUCCGGUGGUUCUGAAUGGAAGGGCCAUCGCUCAACGGAUAAAAGGUACUCCGGGGAUAACAGGCUGAUACCGCCCAAGAGUUCAUAUCGACGGCGGUGUUUGGCACCUCGAUGUCGGCUCAUCACAUCCUGGGGCUGAAGUAGGUCCCAAGGGUAUGGCUGUUCGCCAUUUAAAGUGGUACGCGAGCUGGGUUUAGAACGUCGUGAGACAGUUCGGUCCCUAUCUGCCGUGGGCGCUGGAGAAUUGAGGGGGGCUGCUCCUAGUACGAGAGGACCGGAGUGGACGCAUCACUGGUGUUCGGGUUGUCAUGCCAAUGGCAUUGCCCGGUAGCUAAAUGCGGAAGAGAUAAGUGCUGAAAGCAUCUAAGCACGAAACUUGCCCCGAGAUGAGUUCUCCCUGAGACUUUAAGUCUCCUGAAGGAACGUUGAAGACGACGACGUUGAUAGGUCGGGUGUGUAAGCGCAGCGAUGCGUUGAGCUAACCGAUACUAAUGAACCGUGAGGCUUAACCUU
This 2904-nucleotide ribosomal RNA is filed under the name Enterobacter cloacae. RNAcentral's name for it is "bacterial LSU rRNA". It matches the Rfam family "Bacterial large subunit ribosomal RNA". The record is from RNAcentral. RNAcentral also lists the same sequence under 1 other name. Lineage: Bacteria; Pseudomonadati; Pseudomonadota; Gammaproteobacteria; Enterobacterales; Enterobacteriaceae.